AGAGUUUGAUCCUGGCUCAGGAUGAACGCUAGCGACAGGCUUAACACAUGCAAGUCGAGGGGCAGCGGGGGGGUAGCAAUACUCCCGCCGGCGACCGGCGCACGGGUGAGUAACACGUAUGGAACCUGCCCGCAGCAGGGGGAUAAGCGGAAGAAAUUCCGUCUAAUACCGCGUAACAAUUCCCGGAGGCAUCUCCGGGGAUUUAAAGGAGGCAACUCCGGCUGCGGAUGGCCAUGCGGCGCAUUAGCUUGUUGGCGGGGUAACGGCCCACCAAGGCGACGAUGCGUAGGGGUUCUGAGAGGAAGGUCCCCCACACUGGUACUGAGACACGGACCAGACUCCUACGGGAGGCAGCAGUGAGGAAUAUUGGUCAAUGGCCGAGAGGCUGAACCAGCCAAGUCGCGUGAGGGAUGACGGUCCUAUGGAUUGUAAACCUCUUUUGUCGGGGAGCAAAGGACGCCACGUGUGGUGUUUUGCGAGUACCCGAAGAAAAAGCAUCGGCUAACUCCGUGCCAGCAGCCGCGGUAAUACGGAGGAUGCGAGCGUUAUCCGGAUUUAUUGGGUUUAAAGGGUGCGCAGGCGGAAUGUCAAGUCAGCGGUAAAAUUUCGGGGCUCAACCCCGUCGUGCCGUUGAAACUGGCGUUCUUGAGUGAGCGAGAAGUAUGCGGAAUGCGUGGUGUAGCGGUGAAAUGCAUAGAUAUCACGCAGAACUCCGAUUGCGAAGGCAGCAUACCGGCGCUCAACUGACGCUCAUGCACGAAAGCGUGGGUAUCGAACAGGAUUAGAUACCCUGGUAGUCCACGCAGUAAACGA
RNAcentral lists this ribosomal RNA (813 nucleotides) under uncultured bacterium. RNAcentral's name for it is "bacterial SSU rRNA". It matches the Rfam family "Bacterial small subunit ribosomal RNA", at positions 8 to 809 of the family's 1533-position model. The record is from RNAcentral.